RNAcentral lists this ribosomal RNA (434 nucleotides) under uncultured Ruminococcus sp. Its description in RNAcentral is "bacterial SSU rRNA". It matches the Rfam family "Bacterial small subunit ribosomal RNA", at positions 341 to 792 of the family's 1533-position model. The record is from RNAcentral. Lineage: Bacteria; Bacillati; Bacillota; Clostridia; Eubacteriales; Oscillospiraceae.
ACGGGAGGCAGCAGUGGGGAAUAUUGCACAAUGGGGGGAACCCUGAUGCAGCGAUGCCGCGUGGAGGAAGAAGGUUUUCGGAUUGUAAACUCCUGUCUUAAAGGACGAUAAUGACGGUACUUUAGGAGGAGGCUCCGGCUAACUACGUGCCAGCAGCCGCGGUAAUACGUAGGGAGCGAGCGUUGUCCGGAAUUACUGGGUGUAAAGGGAGCGUAGGCGGGAUUGCAAGUCAGAUGUGAAAACUAUGGGCUUAACCCAUAGACUGCAUUUGAAACUGUAGUUCUUGAGUGAAGUAGAGGUAAGCGGAAUUCCUGGUGUAGCGGUGAAAUGCGUAGAUAUCAGGAGGAACACCGGUGGCGAAGGCGGCUUACUGGGCUUUUACUGACGCUGAGGCUCGAAAGCGUGGGGAGCAAACAGGAUUAGAUACCCUGGUA